This is a non-coding RNA of Cucurbita pepo subsp. pepo (vegetable marrow), 1016 nucleotides long. NCBI's taxonomy places the organism in Eukaryota, Viridiplantae, Streptophyta, Magnoliopsida, Cucurbitales, Cucurbitaceae. The record is from RefSeq and is a predicted model, not a curated record.
UUCGUUCUCCUCUCCAACCGACGUGGGAUCUCACACAAUUGUUGAUGAAGAAAUGGAGUUGAUGAUCGAUCAUUACUAGGGUCAUAAUCGAUUGAAAGAUCAAGUCGACUUUUGUUUGCCAUAUCAAUCAUGGAGGUAAAAAAUGAUUUUACUCCCGGACCUUUUGCAAUAGGUUUUGAUUUUAGUAUCAAUAGUAAGGUGGAAAUAUUUGAAUACAAGCUCAUAUUGCAUAUGAAAAUUGGAAGGAAAAUGUUCAUGCCAAAUGAAGCAGCUUUGUAGGAAAGGGGCUGUUUGAGAAUGAUAGUGCAGAUGUUGGAGCGUCCUUUCAUAUACACAAAGCUUGUAACAAUUUCUGAUAAAGCUCAUCAGAUCUAUUUGAAGCUCUCAAGGAAGGACACUAUGAGUUGGGGUUGUGUAGGGUAGACUCGUAGCUUCGUUUAGCAGAAGAGCAUGACUUUCGAAACUCUUAGUCAAGUGGGAGCACCCAACCUAUGGGCUUUGAAAGAAUAAGAGAAGGGAAUAAAACAAAGAGGAUCACUCCUUUUAGGAAUAUGGCUUGUUCAAUCACUUGCUCAUGAACUUGUAGCUUAGCCAAAAACAACGAAUGGGAAAGUGUAGAAGCUUUGCCGAUUAUGUUGCAGCCUGGAAAUGCUUAGAACUUCCAUUUUGCAUCUCUUAUCGAUGGUGUAGGUAGUUGUGCCUUGUUGGAGAUUUAUUUGUAGCAAGCCUCUUUUCUCCUCGUUCUACAUAAACAAAAUGAAGAACUGCGAACAAAAUGAAGAACUGGGGCAAACAGUUCAUCACGGAAGAAAGGACUCACUGAGCCAAAAUUUGACUCUUAACGUUUUGUUCCAUAGAGUAUCAAGUGCUUCACUUCACAUGGCUCAGAACUGAUUGAAGGUAUUUCUUUGUUGGUUAUUCCUGUCUCGAUGAUAUUAUAUUAUCAUUAGUUUCACAUACUCCAGCCCUACCAUGGAACUUCCUUCUUUAAUUGAUCUUCUAGACUGAUUUUUUCA